GAUGAACGCUGGCGGCGUGCCUAAUACAUGCAAGUCGAGCGGAAAGGCCACUUCGGUGGUACUCGAGCGGCGGACGGCCGAGUAACGCGUAGGAACGUACCCCAAACUGAGGGAUAAGCACCGGAAACGGUGUCUAAUACCGCAUGUGCUCUCAGGAGUAAAGCUUCGGCGGUUUGGGAACGGCCUGCGUAAGAUUAGCUUGUUGGUGAGGUAAUGGCUCACCAAGGCGACGAUCUUUAGCUGGUCUGAGAGGAUGAUCAGCCAGACUGGGACUGAGACACGGCCCAGACUCAUACGGGAGGCAGCAGUAGGGAAUUUUCCACAAUGGGGGCAACCCUGAUGGAGCAACGCCGCGUGCAGGAUGAAUGCCUUCGGGUUGUAAACUGCUUUUAUAUGCGAAGAUUAUGACGGUAGCAUAUGAAUAAGGAUCGGCUAACUCCGUGCCAGCAGCCGCGGUAA
Molecule: ribosomal RNA, 459 nt
Filed under: uncultured bacterium
Lineage: Bacteria
Description: partial 16S ribosomal RNA
Rfam family: Bacterial small subunit ribosomal RNA
Source: RNAcentral